AAUCGCGGAUCAGCAUGCCGCGGUGAAUACGUUCCCGGGCCUUGUACACACCGCCCGUCACACCAUGAGAGCCGGUAACACCCGAAGUCAGUAGUCUAACCGCAAGGGGGACGCUGCCGAAGGUGGGGCUGGUGAUUGGGGUGAAGUCGUAACAAGGUACC
Molecule: ribosomal RNA, 161 nt
Filed under: uncultured bacterium
Lineage: Bacteria
Description: partial 16S ribosomal RNA
Rfam family: Bacterial small subunit ribosomal RNA
Source: RNAcentral